Molecule: ribosomal RNA, 303 nt
Filed under: uncultured bacterium
Lineage: Bacteria
Description: partial 16S ribosomal RNA
Rfam family: Bacterial small subunit ribosomal RNA
Source: RNAcentral
AGCAGUCGCCGCGGGAAUACGUAGGUGGCGAGCGUUGUCCGGAUUUAUUGGGCGUAAAGGGAGUGUAGGCGGUCUUUUAAGUCUGAUGUGAAAGCCCACGGCUCAACCGUGGAGGGUCAUUGGAAACUGGGAGACUUGAGUGCAGAAGAGGAGAGCGGAAUUCCAUGUGUAGCGGUGAAAUGCGUAGAUAUAUGGAGGAACACCAGUGGCGAAGGCGGCUCUCUGGUCUGUAACUGACGCUGAGGCUCGAAAGCGUGGGGAGCAAACAGGAUUAGAUACCCGCGUAGUCCCUGUCUCUUAUAC